AGAGCGAACGCUGGCGGCAGGCCUAACACAUGCAAGUCGAGCGCCCCGCAAGGGGAGCGGCAGACGGGAGAGUAACACGUGGGAACGUACCCUUUGGUUCGGAACAACACAGGGAAACUUGUGCUAAUACCGGAUAAGCCCUUACGGGGAAAGAUUUAUCGCCAAAGGAUCGGCCCGCGUCUGAUUAGCUUGUUGGUGAGGUAACGGCUCACCAAGGCUACGAUCAGUAGCUGGUCUGAGAGGAUGAUCAGCCUCACUGGGACUGAGACACGGCCCAGACUCCUACGGGAGGCAGCAGUGGGGAAUAUUGGACAAUGGGCGCAAGCCUGAUCCAGCCAUGCCGCGUGGACGAUGAAGGCCCUAGGGUUGUAAAGUCCUUUUAACGGGAAGAUAAUGACGGUACCCGUAGAAUAAGCCCGGCUAACUUCGUGCCAGCAGCCGC
RNAcentral lists this ribosomal RNA (442 nucleotides) under uncultured bacterium. RNAcentral's name for it is "SSU rRNA". It matches the Rfam family "Bacterial small subunit ribosomal RNA", at positions 26 to 518 of the family's 1533-position model. The record is from RNAcentral.